Molecule: long non-coding RNA, 2600 nt
Filed under: Equus caballus (horse)
Lineage: Eukaryota; Metazoa; Chordata; Mammalia; Perissodactyla; Equidae
Description: lncRNA (ENSECAG00000050354.1)
Source: RNAcentral
GUUCAAAGGUGGUGAGAGGCAGGAUCACUGACACGGGCUCUUGGGGAACCUGGGCGUCUAAUUCCAAGCUGGAACCUAACCAGUGCAGUCUAUUCCUCCCAAAAGUUUCCCCUGGCAGAUCCAGGGGAAACUUGAAAAUCUUGGCACAGCUGGGUGGGGCGGAGCUCUCCUCCGAUAAGAGGUACCCGGGAGGCCUGCUUGCUGAAGGUCCUGGCUGCUGGGUCAGGUGCGGGAGAGUGAACUGUGCGUCCGGGUUCCUCACAGCCCUCUGGAACAAGGGGGAAUAUAGGCCAGCCUGGACCUUGUACCCUGACAGGACCUGAGUCAGAAGAGGCCAGGUCACCAUUGCAGGCUCUUGGGUGAAACGAAGCAUCUGCAAAUGCGCAGGACGGCACCGUUCUGAACUAAGGCGGCUAGUCACCUUAAAGCGAGAUACCGCGAGAACUCUGAAGCCUCGCUCGGUGAGACCAGAGUGUCCUGGAAUGAGAGACACGUGGGAGCCGUGGUUCCUGUACAGGCCCCAGUUCCCAUCAGCAGCACGAACAAGUGGGAACUGACUGUCGCCACCUGUGUAGCAACAGUAACUCAUCACAUUUCAGCCGGUGGGGAUGCUCCACACGGGAACGUAUCCAGGUGGUUCAUCUGAGCCGUGGACCCACAGGCCUGAAGAGCCCUAGCUGACUAAGCCAUGCUGAAUGGAUCAUUUACAUUCGUGGAGCACUUCAGGACUCACGGCAGCCAACUACCAGGCCUCCGCUGUGGGAAUCUUCUUGGUAUGCAGGCACAGACAAGCCCCUUGAAGAUGGCUGCUGCCCCAGGUGUAGAUCACAAAGCAUCCCCCAACAGCCUCCUGCACACUAAUCUCUUCUGAUUCCGUUUCCCAGGAAACCCAACCUGCGACAGCCUCGACAGGUAAAUAAAGGAGGAUGCAGAGUGCCGUGCGCAGCAUUGCUCACCAGCCAGCAGAGGGAGCUUCUGAAGUUUCAGUGUGGGUGUAGCAGUCGUGGGUACCAAUGAUUAAAGAUGGUUUGUCUCAGCAAUAACCAGAUACGUGGAUGCUCAGCGAUGGGGAAUCAAAGGUCUUUCUCUUAAUGCCUAGGUUUAAACCCUUACUGGCAGUGAGAUCUAGGCAUGCCACUUAGCCUCUCUGUCCUUUAUUUUCCUAAUCUGUAAAAUGGGCAAUUUUUAAAGUACUUAGAACAGUUUCUGACACACAUUGUUACUUAAGUGAUUGUUCAUGACAGUGAUUGUUGAAGAAAAUACUAGGACUUUUGUAAAUGUGGGUUACUUUCUUGUCUCCUACCCCUGGCAGGAAGGAAAGAAUAAUAAAGAAGAGAAAUAUUGAAUUGACAGAAUAUUUAUCUAGAUGGAAUGGAAUUAAAACCAGAAGAAACUAAAUUUACUUUGAAUUGGUAAGAUUAAGUUUCCUGACAUCAGAGGAAAUGGGUGUCUAUAAAUCCAUUUUUCACAAGUGGGUCAAAGUGUCUAUAAAUUCAUAUCUUGCUAUGAUAAUUAGAUAAUUACCUUUUAAAAAUAACAUGUGGUUUAUAAUGCAUCGGACACAAAUGCAGGAUUUAUUGGCAAGAACUAAUUGAUUCUAAUUAGUUUAAUACCUAAUUUGGUUUUAUGUUUCUCUCUACGUUUUACCUCCAAAUUGAAGAUCCUUUACCUUAACAGCUAAUACAGCAUAAUCUGUUAAACAUUUCUGGAAAAAGAAAUAUAUCAUUCCCUUUGAAAAUUAUUCAUUCCAAUCAUAAAAUGCCGCAGGCUUUCUCCUCCCCCACCUCACCCUGCCCCCAUUCAGAAUUCUAUGGGGAGAGAAAUGGAAGGGAGAUGAGAGUCCUUUAAGACUUCUCCCUUUAAGAAAUGAGACUCUCUUUUCCCUAAUUUAAUUAAAAUAAACAUGACUUGAGAAAGAACAAGAAAUACCUGCAGGUUUCAUUCUAGUUUCUCUCCAUCUGUUAGACCCAUAUUUUCUGAAAUGACCUAGCAGCUGUGCUGCAAAGACACCCUACACUAAUGUUCUCUUUUAUGCAUGUAUAAGACUCGAGCUUUAGUAAAUAUUUCAGUAUUUUAUUUAUAUCAGAUACAGUCACCUUUUAAAAAUGCCAGUGAAAGCUCUCUGCUUACAUUUAAAGGUGGCACUUCGGCAAUUCCAGUGACUCCUCUAGCUCUGUUGUUGACCUAUGAGAAGAUUUGGGAGAGUCUUCUGGUUUAGAACUAAAAAUCAAAUCGUACUAGGAGAAUCACUUUUCAGGGACUCAGAGUGGGCCAUGGUCUGCUACGCUGACUGGAGGCGAGCAUGUAUUUUAUAUGUUCUCAACAAAAUGGAUCACAGGAUUAUAAGGCAAAGCAAAAGUAACUUGAUGAUGAUACCUGGACACAAAGUGGUACGUUAUUCAUUCAUUCAGUCAUUCAGCUAUUUACUGAGCAGCUAUUAUGCUAAGCACUAUUGGAGGAGCAAGGGGCACUUAUUUAGAUGCAGAUCUUGCUCUCAAGUGCAUUAAUGCUUAAAGAAUCCCUUAAUAAGGAUGAUGUAAUGUGUUUCACCUGAGAGGAAGGAGCCAGAGGAUUACUUCUUAAAGAGAGUGAGAGGGGAG